This 407-nucleotide ribosomal RNA is filed under the name uncultured bacterium. Its description in RNAcentral is "partial 16S ribosomal RNA". It matches the Rfam family "Bacterial small subunit ribosomal RNA", at positions 30 to 526 of the family's 1533-position model. The record is from RNAcentral.
AUUGCACGCUGGCGGCAGGCCUAACACAUGCAAGUCGAGCGGAGCGGCUGACGGGUGAGUUAUGCCUACUAAUCUGCCUGGUAGUGGGUUUUAACGUCCUCUAACGUGCGCUAUUACCGCAUCCUAUCAGAUCAGCCUAGGUCUCAUUAGCUCGCUGGUGGGGUAAAGGCCUACCAAGGAGCCGAUCCGUAACUGGUCUGAGAGGAUGAUCAGUCACACUGGAACUGAGAAACGGUCCAGACUCCUACGGGAGGCAGCAGUGGGGAUUUUGGGACAAUGGGCGAAAGCCUGAUCCAGCAAUGCCGCGUGUGUGAAGAAGGUCUUCGGAUUGUAAGGCACUUUAAGUUGGGAGGCGGUAGCAAGAGAAGAAGCACCGGCUAACUUCGUGCCAGCAGCCGCGGUAAUAG